AGGGCGGGACACGUGACAUCCUGUCUGAAUAUGGGGGGACCAUCCUCCAAGGCUAAAUACUCCUGACUGACCGAUAGUGAACCAGUACCGUGAGGGAAAGGCGAAAAGAACCCCGGCGAGGGGAGUGAAACAGAACCUGAAACCGUGUACGUACAAGCAGUGGGAGCACCUUCGUGGUGUGACUGCGUACCUUUUGUAUAAUGGGUCAGCGACUUAUAUUUUGUAGCAAGGUUAACCGAAUAGGGGAGCCGUAGGGAAACCGAGUCUUAACUGGGCGAAUAGUUGCAAGGUAUAGACCCGAAACCCGGUGAUCUAGCCAUGGGCAGGUUGAAGGUUGGGUAACACUAACUGGAGGACCGAACCGACUAAUGUUGAAAAAUUAGCGGAUGACUUGUGGCUGGGGGUGAAAGGCCAAUCAAACCGGGAGAUAGCUGGUUCUCCCCGAAAGCUAUUUAGGUAGCGCCUCGUGAACUCAUCUUCGGGGGUAGAGCACUGUUUCGGCUAGGGGGUCAUCCCGACUUACCAAACCGAUGCAAACUCCGAAUACCGAAGAAUGUUAUCACGGGAGACACACGGCGGGUGCUAACGUCCGUCGUGAAGAGGGAAACAACCCAGACCGCCAGCUAAGGUCCCAAAGUCAUGGUUAAGUGGGAAACGAUGUGGGAAGGCACAGACAGCCAGGAUGUUGGCUUAGAAGCAGCCAUCAUUUAAAGAAAGCGUAAUAGCUCACUGGUCGAGUCGGCCUGCGCGGAAGAUGUAACGGGGCUAAACCAUGCACCGAAGCUGCGGCAGCGAACGUAUCACUUAAAACGCUUAACGUGACGGCAAAGCCGGCAUGUUCAAGCCACACUAAACGUUGAGUUGGCCGAUGUGCUGACAAACGAACAGGCGUUUUAAGGAUACGUUCGUUGGGUAGGGGAGCGUUCUGUAAGCCGUUGAAGGUGGCCUGUGAGGGUUGCUGGAGGUAUCAGAAGUGCGAAUGCUGACAUAAGUAACGAUAAUGCGGGUGAAAAACCCGCACGCCGGAAGACCAAGGGUUCCUGUCCAACGUUAAUCGGGGCAGGGUGAGUCGACCCCUAAGGCGAGGCUGAAAAGCGUAGUCGAUGGGAAACAGGUUAAUAUUCCUGUACUUGGUGUUACUGCGAAGGGGGGACGGAGAAGGCUAGGCUAGCCGGGCGACGGUUGUCCCGGUUUAAGCAUGUAGGCGGAGUGACCAGGUAAAUCCGGUUGCUUAUC
This 1236-nucleotide ribosomal RNA is filed under the name Yersinia enterocolitica. RNAcentral's name for it is "partial 23S ribosomal RNA". It matches the Rfam family "Bacterial large subunit ribosomal RNA", at positions 414 to 1554 of the family's 2925-position model. Lineage: Bacteria; Pseudomonadati; Pseudomonadota; Gammaproteobacteria; Enterobacterales; Yersiniaceae. The record is from RNAcentral.